Molecule: long non-coding RNA, 2656 nt
Organism: Mesocricetus auratus (golden hamster)
Lineage: Eukaryota; Metazoa; Chordata; Mammalia; Rodentia; Cricetidae
Exons: 3
Source: RefSeq, a predicted model, not a curated record
AGACAGUGUUUUUCCGUGUAACUCCAGCUGACCUGGAACUUGCUCUGCCUCGAACUCACAGAGAUCCUCCUGCCUCUGCCUCCCCAGUGCUGGGAUUAAAGGCAUGCGUCACCAAUGCCUGGCUUUGGCCGGCUUCUAACAGGACUUCCGUCAGCUUGAUCUUUGGGGACAACAGGUCUUAUCAGGGUCCAAGGAAGGUGUUUGGGGCUAGACUGCAUCUCACUGGGUGGGGAAAGGAGUUUAGGGCCAAAUUGUGGUUAUGUGUUUGUUUGGUUUUCUCUUUCCUUCACGAAGAGCAAUGAGCAUGACUUAUAAAAGUGAAAAGAAAAAACGGUCCCUCUCAUUUCCAUCUUGGUGGCCUGGAAUAGAAGCUUGAUUUGCAUACGUGGGGACUGGAAGCGUGCUAAGAAGGCCCGGUUUGCUCCCCGAGGCGGAAAUAGAAAGGAUCACUCUCCACACUGAGCCUGCUGUGGUGACAGCUGCUAGGUUUGUCGUUUUGUUCUGUUUCUGUCUUUUUUGUGACGGGCUUCACUGUGUUGUCCUGCAACUCACCAUGUAGACCAGGCUGGCUUAGAACUCAGACAGAAAUCCUACUGCAUCUGCCUCCUAAGUGCUAGAAUUGAAGGUGCCCAACCAGGACUGGCACCAUACACACACACACACACACACACACACACACACACACACACACACGCGCGCGUGCGCACACACACGCACGCACGCACGCACACUUUUAUUUUAAAGAUAGGGUUCACUGUAGCCCAGCACCUUUGAGCCUCCUGUCUCUAACUCCAAGGAGCCACCACAGCCACUGAUGCUUUCCAUUCUAACAGCCUAGAGCGACCUCUCACCCUCUGUCCCUGCAGGACGGUGGCUUACACUCCGGAUUCCAACAGCCUGCAGUGCUGCUCACUCGUGCGCUCUCUGUCCCUGCGGGAGGGGUGGCUGUGUUCUUCCUGUACCUGGUUUUAUCCUCCUGGCCUGCCACAGUGCCAGCAACCACACAUCCUCUGAGAUUUGUGAGGGGACAAGGGGCAGCCUUCAGAACCCUCCUUAGCAGGACUUCAUCAGCAGUGCCGAGCAGAGGCCAUGGGCUGAGGGGACAGGAAGGCGGGACGGCCUCUGCCCAGAAAUGAGGAAAUGGUAGUUUGGUCUGUGCCUCGUCCGUCUGAGACCUCCGUCAACACCACCCUGCACCUCCCUUAGGCAGAACAGAAGGGGAUGCCCAGGGACACAGGGUGAAGGGACAAGACAGGACACGGAGGGUCUGUCCUAUGUUCCAGGCUGGCUUUGAGCUCACUAUGUACCUGAGGGUAGCCUGGAACUCCUGACCUUCCUCCCUCCACUGGGAUUACAGGCGCUGCACCGUCAGCCUGGUUUAAAUGAAAGCUCUCCUCACACCAGGGAGCCCCACUGCAGGCAAGUUGACAGGAAUCAGGGGCCAGGAGGGAUGGCUCAGAGGUACAGUGCUUGCUGUGCAAGCGUGAGACCUAAGUUCCGGUCCCCGGCGCCCACCAAAGAAGGCGGGUGUGGAGCAGGGUAGAGAAAGGUGGGUUUCUGGACCUAGCCAGACAGUCUAACUGGAACAGCAAGCUUCAGGCCGGAGAGAGAGAGAGAGAAAGAGAGAGAGAGAGAGACAGAGAGACAGAGAGACAGAGACAGAGAGACAGAGAGAGCCUUUGCUUCAAAAACUAAGGUAGGGAAGUGACUGAAGAAGACACCUCAACACCUCAACGUCUUGCCUUAAUGUCUGACUUCCAUAUGCAUCCACAAUGACAACUGCACACACACACACACACUCUCUCUCUCUCACAUGUUCACACGCAUUCACACACAUACGCACAUACAAUUUCUUUCAUGCACAUACAAUUUUCUUUCACGCACAUGCAUGCGCAUGCACACACACACACACACCACACCAAUGGAAUCCAGGUGAUGUCCUAACAGGGUCAGCCAUACAAGCAUGUUAGUCUAUGGGGCUGUUAUGGAUAUCCUGUUCAGCCCCCACCCCCACCCCCACCCACUGCCCCAACACACACACACACACACUCACACAUACACACGCACGCACACACUCAUGCACACACUCACACACUCAUAGCACACACACACGCACGCAUGCACACACACACUCGCACACACGCACAUACACACACUCACGCGCACACACCUUCUCCCUCUCUCCCUCUGGUGCUUCUGCCUUCAGGUCUCUCAGGACUCUCUACUUCCUCCAAGCUCUUCCCGUGGUGUCUGCAGGAGACUCACCCAGCGUGGCCACCAAGAGCAGCCAAAGGAGCUUCAUGUCUCUGCAGGGAUGGGGCUGUGUGGGGCCUCUGGCUCAGGCUGUCAAAAGCCUCCUCAUCUGGCCCCUCCACCCUAAGGCCCCUGGGUGCUCCUUGGGUGGUUGCCUGCAGCUAGGAGAUAAUCUGAAGGUUGUGGUUACCCAGGGGCCCCUGACACUCUGCAGGGCUAGCUCCAGGGAUGUCACCUGUGGGGGAGGGAGUGAGGACGUGCCUACUGAGUUCCAGAUGGCAUUAACACAAGGGUUUUCUUUUUUUUUUAAUUUUUUUGCUUUUUCGAGACAGGGUUUCUCUGUGGCUUUGGAGGCCGUCCUGGAACUCGCUCUGUAGACCAAGCUGGCCUCGAACUCAUAGAG